GACGAACGCUGGCGGCGUGCUUAACACAUGCAAGUCGAACGGUGAAGCUCCAGCUUGCUGGAGUGGAUCAGUGGCGAACGGGUGAGUAACACGUGAGCAACCUGCCCCUGACUCUGGAAUAAGCGCUGGAAACGGCGUCUAAUACUGGAUACGAGAAGGGUCCGCAUGGGCACUUUCUGGAAAGUUUUUCGGUUGGGGAUGGGCUCGCGGCCUAUCAGCUUGUUGGUGAGGUAAUGGCUCACCAAGGCGACGACGGGUAGCCGGCCUGAGAAGGCGACCGGCCACACUGGGACUGAGACACGGCCCAGACUCCUACGGGAGGCAGCAGUGGGGAAUAUUGCACAAUGGGCGAAAGCCUGAUGCAGCGACGCCGCGUGAGGGAUGACGGCCUUCGGGUUGUAAACCUCUUUCAGCAGGGAAGAAGCGAAAGUGACGGUACCUGCAGAAGAAGCACCGGCUAACUACGUG
RNAcentral lists this ribosomal RNA (468 nucleotides) under uncultured bacterium. RNAcentral describes it as "partial 16S ribosomal RNA". It matches the Rfam family "Bacterial small subunit ribosomal RNA", at positions 28 to 507 of the family's 1533-position model. The record is from RNAcentral.